AAUGCCACUCCACUUAAAUUGGCUGCCGUUUCUUUUCCUUUGCUCCGCCUGAACAACCUAUCUGCUAAGUCUGCUCCUCUUCAAGUUUUGAUUGUUGUCGGUAACUAGUUUUCCUCUUACUCUCUAUUUUCCCCACUAAUUUUAUAUCUUCAUUCUGUUUUCGAACAAUAUUAGGUAGAUUAGCUUCCCUAAAUGCAUCAUUUUUUCAACUAUAUUUAGGUAUAAAUAUAUGCAAACCGAAAUCUUUUUGUUUUUAUAUUAUAUGAUUUUGAUUGUAAUGUAAAAAAAUGGCUUCACAAAAGAGUCAGCAGCAAGUACCAGUUAAUGGUAACCCGUCUGCCGCAUGAAGCCUAAAUAAACCAAUAUCCAAAAUGAAGACCCAUGAGAUUCAUUAUUAUUUCAUGACACAAUAUUUUUUGGUACAUUAAAAUUGUUUUCAGAAUUUCUGUAUAAUUUUGAUUAUUGGAGGAGGACAGGCACUUCUCAGACAACGGGGGUUUAUUUAUUUCUAUAAAAAACUACCUUUUGCACGGUGCCUACAAAAAGCUGCUUAUCACGAUUGGAGGGUGUUCUGCUUUUUUUGCUAAGCAUUCCUUCAAAUUAAAAGUAGCCAAAUUAUUUGUGUUAAUUUUCCUCCUUUAUUAGGCGAUGAUGAGUUGCUAACACGUAAGAAGAUCUAAUUUAAGCUUGGAUCAGCUUGGAUCUUCGAUGAAAUUCACUUGUUACGCUUGGCUUCUGAGCUUUGUCUAUUAAAUGGUUAUUUAUUUUUAAAGUCCGAGUUACAAAACCUGAUGAUAAAAGCAGGGAUCAAUUGCCUUAUUUGUGAAUUGGUCUCUCGUAAACGUCAGGGAAAUCAGAAUUGCAUUGUUAUUGGGUGAACCACUUGACCAUUUUCAUGAUGGAAUGGUUCAGUAAACGAUGAUACAUAUUUAUUCUAGAUACUAUUGUUUUUGUUGUGCUAGAUGUCUACUGAUUAAUGCUUGUGUCCAAAGUUGAAGAUAACAGCUGUUUUAGGUGUUUAGCUCAUACUGUUUUAGCAGUUUAGCAAAUUCAGCUGAGCAAUUUCCUAUGCCAUAAGUUCUACACCAUUAGACAGUCUCGAGAUCACAUAUUUCCUAUGUUUACUUUUUUUCCUGGAGUAUUCACUGCUUACGGCUUGCGGGGCAUUGCCAGAUAUAGUCCGAUGAUUAACAAUUUAACAAUAGCAAACCAACCUUGAUUAUGGUAGUGUACUUAUCUUGAGAUGUCGAGCGGAUUAUACAAAGAAGUAGCUCCAAAAGACUACAGAUCAGUGUGAUUUGGGAUUUAGCUACAUUGCUGCAUUUCAGUUGUCAUAUCAUUGAGAUUUGGGAUUCGACUAAAAUGUAGGUAAAAUUUAUGUUUAAAUAUAUAUUUGUCAAAUAAAACCCAAGUUUUAUUGUUGCACUUUAAAGUUUGACCACGUAUGCUUAAAGAUUUCUAUUGCACCCCUUAAUUAGCAGCCACCACGUUUCAUAAAUAAAGGAAAAAACUGAAAAAACCUUUGUCCCAAAACAUCCUUCUAAUGUUCCCAAAGAAAAAAAGAAAAAUGCAUAAAAGAAAAAACCCUGCAUACGAAUUUCAGAUUAAAGCUCAAACCCAAAGCAUGAUUAAAGCAAAUUUUAACUCAAUCAUAAUCAUGAAUUCAAACUAAUUUUUAGGUCCUGAAACGCCAAAAUCAACAAGCUCCAAUUAAAUUUUUAAGUUUUUCCAAAAUGUCAAUAAUGGUGAUUUUUACAAGACUCAAAAGUUCCUUUGUUCUUUUUAGUCUUCGGGGUUGGAGAGACAAAACAAGAGCAGAUAGGGUGGGGAUUGGCGAAGAAGAUGAAACCCAUGAGGAAACGCUGUGGUUUUGAGGGUUUUGAGAAGGAAUACAUGAGUUAUGUUUUUUUCUUUUAUUUGAAACCGAAAUUAUUUAAAAAAGGGAAAAAUUAAAAAAACUAAGUUUGAGUAUUUUUCCUCCCUCCUACGACAUGAUUUUUAGCUUUCCAUGUGCUUGUUUUAUGUGUUACAUGUGUAACAGGUGUAUAAGAAGGAUUUGGUGACAAGGUCGAAUUUUGCCUUAUUCUCUAUUGACAUUUUUUCCAAGUAAUACUAUAAUAAAGACUUUAUUAC
Molecule: non-coding RNA, 2133 nt
Organism: Nicotiana tabacum (common tobacco)
Lineage: Eukaryota; Viridiplantae; Streptophyta; Magnoliopsida; Solanales; Solanaceae
Source: RefSeq, a predicted model, not a curated record